RNAcentral lists this ribosomal RNA (425 nucleotides) under uncultured bacterium. RNAcentral's name for it is "partial 16S ribosomal RNA". It matches the Rfam family "Bacterial small subunit ribosomal RNA", at positions 354 to 796 of the family's 1533-position model. The record is from RNAcentral.
GUGGGGAAUCUUGCGCAAUGGGCGAAAGCCUGACGCAGCCAUGCCGCGUGGAUGAUGAAGGUCUUAGGAUUGUAAAAUCCUUUCACCGGUGAAGAUAAUGACUGUAGCCGGAGAAGAAGCCCCGGCUAACUUCGUGCCAGCAGCCGCGGUAAUACGAAGGGGGCUAGCGUUGCUCGGAUUUACUGGGCGUAAAGGGCGCGUAGGCGGACAUUUAAGACAGGGGUGAAAUCCCGGGGCUCAACCUCGGAACUGCCUUUGAUACUGGGUGUCAUGAGUAUGAGAGUAGUGUGUGGAACUCCGAGUGUAGAGGUGAAAUUCGUAGAUAUUCGGAAGAACACCAGUGGCGAAGGCGACACACUGGCUCAUUACUGACGCUGAGGCGCGAAAGCGUGGGGAGCAAACAGGAUUAGAAACCCCGGUAGUCC